CACACACAACACACACCCAUACACAACAUACUCACUCCUGACACUUAUACAUAUAUCCAACACACAUUCACACCCAACACAUGCACACACCCAUUUACACCACACAGCACAACACACAUACACACAGUAAACUCCAACACUCUGCGCAACCAUCACAGACACCCACACGAGCACCCACUCACGCCCUCACACUCACGGACUCGGAGCCGGCCUGCUGUGAACCUGGGGCAAGAGAUGUCACCGCCAGGUGACUCAGUUUCCCCAUCAGUAGGAUGCAAAUUAUCCCCACUUUGUGAGCCACAGAUGAGCUAAGGCCGGAGACACAGGCAGUUCUCAGAACAGCACCACUGGCUGGAUCCAAUCACUCUCACGAGAAACGCGGGGAGCAACACACUCCUGCUCCUCCAGGCGGGAGAUGGAAACCCCUUAGCCGCUACUCAGAUGCAGAGGGACAGGGAGGCUGCAAACACAUGUUACUGACUGCAAGGGAAGGAUGCCUGAGCAGGAAGGGGACUUCAGGGACACCACUGUAAAGAAGAAGAUACCGAGGUCCACAGAGGACCCAAACGUGCCCAGAGCUGAACUGCUGCAGAAAACCAGCUCCCACGCCUGGCGCCAGUGCCUCUGAUCUCUGACCCUGCCCCGGGACCACAUCAAGUAUCAGCGGAUGGCAAUCGGUGGUCAGGAGUCCAAGGCCUCCCAGCACUAGUCAAGACGGAGGUGCAGCCCGGAGGUCAGGGUGUCAGCAUGAGCAUGUUGAUCCCUGAGAUCUUCACGAAGAACCCAGACAAACCGGCUCGUUGGGCUCCCAAAGGCUCCUCAACCCCGGCUGAGACUUUCCGGCCCCAAGCAAAGACCUGUUGGACCGGUCUGUCUGCCAAGCCACCUCCAUCCAGGGCAGUGCUGGCCAGCUGUCAGAGGGUGGCGGGCGGGACCAGGCCCACUUGGUCCUUGGUCCUGUACUUAGGACGCUGCCCUGUUUCUCCUUCCCCCCAGGCUGGUCCCCAUUGUGAUCCACAAAAUCUUUUUCUCUGGCAGAAAAUCAGAAAAACAGAAUGUGGGUGUGUGUUGGGUAGUCUUGGCUUCUGAAAGGUUGAGAAUAAAAAUAGGAGCAGGGGCUAGGCGCGGUGGCUCACUCCUGUAAUCCCAGCAUUUUGGGAGGCCGA
Molecule: long non-coding RNA, 1166 nt
Filed under: Homo sapiens (human)
Lineage: Eukaryota; Metazoa; Chordata; Mammalia; Primates; Hominidae
Description: HSALNT0387490
Source: RNAcentral